This 66-nucleotide transfer RNA is filed under the name Trochalopteron formosum. RNAcentral describes it as "tRNA-Cys". Lineage: Eukaryota; Metazoa; Chordata; Aves; Passeriformes; Leiothrichidae. The record is from RNAcentral.
GACUUUGUAGUGAAAUUCAUGGUGAGUUGCAAGCUCAUCGAUGUGCAUUAAUCUGCGCCGAGGUCU